This 869-nucleotide long non-coding RNA is filed under the name Marmota monax (woodchuck). Lineage: Eukaryota; Metazoa; Chordata; Mammalia; Rodentia; Sciuridae. The record is from RNAcentral.
GGGGGUCCAUGUAAUUUAUGAAGGAAGUCCUUUCAGGAAACAGAAGUGAGAGUCCCAACCUGACACAGAAUGGGAAAUAAUAAGCAAGGGAAAUCCCAUCCUCAACUGGAUUCCUCAAGAAACCCCAGGCACAGUUUCUUCUUAGAGUUUGUCCCAACUUAAGGGAGCUGGCUUUGAUGUUGCUUCAUAGUCCACUAUUGGCUAAUGGCUGUUUAUUAAGAAUGUUGGGGGUAAACUAGGUGACCAACCACCCUGGUUUGUCAGGGACUGUCCUGUGUUUAGUACUAAAAAUCUUUUAUCUUGGAAAAAUCCUUCAAUAUCAAGCAAACCAUGCUAGCUGAUCACCCUUAAAGACUAGAAACCUCCGGACACUUCUGACAUUUUGGACAGCAAAGUAGUUUUAAUAACUCCAGUUCAUCCUACUAAAGGGAAUCACAGGUAUAAAAAUCCCACUAAAGUGGGAGGAUGGGCUGUAGCCAUGCCUAGGAAUCCAAGUGCCUCUGAAUGGAAUGCAGCCAUGUUCCUUUAACAGGCACUUCUUGUGACCAGUUUUCUAAGAAGCACUAUAGUGCAAGUGGAGACUUGUAGAUGUGGAGUCGAAGACAGGAAUCUCAAGGGACGUGAACAUUUCAUCCUCCACAGGAAGUUCCUAGUUGUAGUGGGACUUAAGGAUAGUGACAUACAGGUUCAAGACUAGUCAAUUCUUCAAAACAGUUUUGUGAAGAGGACAUUAGCACCUGAAUGAACUUGAUUACCAAACCAAAAGUAAAAAAUUAACAAGAUGUGGUCUUGAACACAGUAACAAUGGCUUCCACAUGGGAAGGGUAAGAAGAAUUUGCCCUUUAUCAGUGAGUUUCCUUCAACCUAAC